This 465-nucleotide ribosomal RNA is filed under the name uncultured bacterium. Its description in RNAcentral is "partial 16S ribosomal RNA". It matches the Rfam family "Bacterial small subunit ribosomal RNA", at positions 28 to 507 of the family's 1533-position model. The record is from RNAcentral.
GAUGAACGCUGGCGGCGUGCUUAACACAUGCCAGUCGAACGGAAAGGCUCCUGCUUGCCGGGGUACUCGAGUGGCGAACGGGUGAGUAACACGUGGGUGAUCUGCCCUGCACUUCGGGAUAAGCCUGGGAAACUGGGUCUAAUACCGGAUAGGACCACAUUUUGGAUGGUGUGGUGGAAAGUUUUUCGGUGUGGGAUGAGCUCGCGGCCUAUCAGCUUGUUGGUGGGGUAAUGGCCUACCAAGGCGUCGACGGGUAGCCGGCCUGAGAGGGUGUACGGCCACAUUGGGACUGAGAUACGGCCCAGACUCCUACGGGAGGCAGCAGUGGGGAAUAUUGCACAAUGGGCGCAAGCCUGAUGCAGCGACGCCGCGUGGGGGAUGACGGCCUUCGGGCUGUAAACUCCUUUCGCUAGGGACGAAGCGCAAGUGACGGUACCUGGAGAAGAAGCACCGGCUAACUACGUG